UACGGGGGGGGUAAGCGUUGUUCGGAAUUACUGGGCGUAAAGGGCUCGUAGGCGGCCAACUAAGUCAGACGUGAAAUCCCUCAGCUUAACUGGGGAACUGCGUCUGAUACUGGAUGGCUUGGAUUCGGGAGAGGAAUGCGGAAUUCCAGGUGUAGCGGUGAAAUGCGUAGAUAUCUGGAGGAACACCGGUGGCGAAGGCGGCAUCCUGGACCGACACUGACACUGAGGAGCGAAAGCCAGGGGAGCAAACGGG
This 253-nucleotide ribosomal RNA is filed under the name uncultured bacterium. RNAcentral's name for it is "partial 16S ribosomal RNA". It matches the Rfam family "Bacterial small subunit ribosomal RNA", at positions 524 to 776 of the family's 1533-position model. The record is from RNAcentral.